UAGCUAGUUGGUGAGGUAAAGGCUUACCAAGGCGACGAUCUGUAGCGGGUCUGAGAGGAUGAUCCGCCACACUGGAACUGAGACACGGUCCAGACUCCUACGGGAGGCAGCAGUGGGGAAUUUUGGACAAUGGGGGCAACCCUGAUCCAGCCAUGCCGCGUGAGUGAAGAAGGCCUUCGGGUUGUAAAGCUCUUUCGGCCGGGAAGAAAUCGCAUGGGUCAAUACCCUGUGUGGAUGACGGUACCGGAAUAAGAAGCACCGGCUAACUACGUGCCAGCAGCCGCGGUAAUACGUAGGGUGCGAGCGUUAAUCGGAAUUACUGGGCGUAAAGCGUGCGCAGGCGGUUUUGUAAGACAGGCGUGAAAUCCCCGGGCUUAACCUGGGAACUGCGUUUGUGACUGCAAGGCUAGAGUACGGCAGAGGGGGGUGGAAUUCCACGUGUAGCAGUGAAAUGCGUAGAGAUGUGGAGGAACACCAAUGGCGAAGGCAGCCCCCUGGGUCGAUACUGACGCUCAUGCACGAAAGCGUGGGUAGCAAACAGGAUUAGAUACCCUGGUAGUCCACGCCCUAAACUAUGUCAACUAGGUGUUGGGUGGGUAAAACCAUUUAGUACCGUAGCUAACGCGUGAAGUUGACCGCCUGGGGAGUACGGCCGCAAGGUUAAAACUCAAAGGAAUUGACGGGGACCCGCACAAGCGGUGGAUGAUGUGGAUUAAUUCGAUGCAACGCGAAAAACCUUACCUACCCUUGACAUGCCAGGAACUUGCCAGAGAUGGCUUGGUGCCCGAAAGGGAGCCUGGACACAGGUGCUGCAUGGCUGUCGUCAGCUCGUGUCGUGAGAUGUUGGGUUAAGUCCCGCAACGAGCGCAACCCUUGUCGUUAAUUGCCAUCAUUUGGUUGGGCACUUUAACGAGACUGCCGGUGACAAACCGGAGGAAGGUGGGGAUGACGUCAAGUCCUCAUGGCCCUUAUGGGUAGGGCUUCACACGUCAUACAAUGGUCGGUACAAAGGGUUGCCAAGCCGCGAGGCGGAGCCAAUCCCAGAAAGCCGAUCGUAGUCCGGAUUGCAGGCUGCAACUCGCCUGCAUGAAGUCGGAAUCGCUAGUAAUCGUGGAUCAGCAUGUCACGGUGAAUACGUUCCCGGGUCUUGUACACACCGCCCGUCACACCAUGGGAGCGGGUUCCGCCAGAAGUAGGUAGCCUAACCGCAAGGGGGGCGCUUACCACGGCGGGGUUCGUGACUGGGGUGAAGUCGUAACAAGGUAGCCGUAGGGGAACCUGCGGCUG
Molecule: ribosomal RNA, 1287 nt
Filed under: metagenome
Description: bacterial SSU rRNA
Rfam family: Bacterial small subunit ribosomal RNA
Source: RNAcentral